GCUUGGCUGGCUCACUUGGUAGAGCGUGUGACUCUUGAUCUCGGACUUGUGAGUUCAAACCCCAUGUUGGGUG
This 73-nucleotide transfer RNA is filed under the name Felis catus (domestic cat). It matches the Rfam family "tRNA". From Rfam's summary of the family: Transfer RNA (tRNA) molecules are approximately 80 nucleotides in length. The record is from Rfam by way of RNAcentral. Lineage: Eukaryota; Metazoa; Chordata; Mammalia; Carnivora; Felidae.